RNAcentral lists this non-coding RNA (923 nucleotides) under Scinax tupinamba. Lineage: Eukaryota; Metazoa; Chordata; Amphibia; Anura; Hylidae. The record is from RNAcentral.
UGGUCCUAGCCUUGAAAUCAGUACUUACUUAAUUUACACAUGCAAGUCUCCGCACCCCUGUGAAAACGCCCUUUAACCCCCUAUUGGGGUAAGGAGCUGGUAUCAGGCUCACUUUAGCCCAAGACACCUAGCUAUGCCACACCCACAAGGGUACCCAGCAGWGAUCAACAUUGAUAAUAAGCGCAAGCUUGAAUCAGUUAAAGUAAAAAGAGCCGGCAAAUCUGGUGCCAGCCGCCGCGGUUACACCACGUGACUCAAAUUGAUCUUCUGACGGCGUAAAGCGUGAUUAAAGCUAACUUAUACUGUAGUUGAACCGGAAUUAAGGUGUGAUAAACUUGUUCUGCGGAAGCCCACAAACGAAAGUUACUACAACUAAAACAACUUGAACUCACGACAGCUGGGAAACAAACUGGGAUUAGAUACCCCACUAUGCCCAGCCGUAAACCAUAACUUACACCCAAAUCGCCGGGGAAUUACGAGCUUAAAGCUUAAAACCCAAAGGACUUGACGGUACCCCAUAUCCCCCUAGAGGAGCCUGUCCUAUAAUCGACAAUCCCCGUUUAACCUCACCACUUUUAGCCAAUCAGUCUGUAUACCUCCGUCGUCAGCUUACCACGUGAGCGACCAUAGUGAGCUUAAUGUCCAUCCGUCAAAACGUCAGGUCAAGGUGCAGCUUAUAAAGUGGGAAGAGAUGGGCUACAUUCUCUAAUCUAGAAAAUACGGAAGACUACCUAUGAAACCUAGUCGGAAGGCGGAUUUAGAAGUAAAAAGGGAUAAGAAAGCUCUUUUUAACCUGGCACUGGGGUGUGUACACACCGCCCGUCACCCUCCUCGAAGCCGAAAGAACAGUAUUUAACUCAUUAAAGCAAAAUAGAAGAGGCAAGUCGUAACAUGGUAAGCGCACCGGAAGGUGAGCUUGGAAA